GCGGAGGAAAAGAAACCAACAGGGAUUGCCUUAGUAGCGGCGAGUGAAGCGGCAAAAGCUCAAAUUUGAAAUCUGGCUCUUUCAGAGUCCGAGUUGUAAUUUGAAGAAGGUAUCUUUGGGUCUGGCUCUUGUCUAUGUUUCUUGGAACAGAACGUCACAGAGGGUGAGAAUCCCGUGCGAUGAGAUGAUCCAGGCCUAUGUAAAGUUCCUUCGAAGAGUCGAGUUGUUUGGGAAUGCAGCUCUAAGUGGGUGGUAAAUUCCAUCUAAAGCUAAAUAUUGGCGAGAGACCGAUAGCGAACAAGUACAGUGAUGGAAAGAUGAAAAGAACUUUGAAAAGAGAGUGAAAAAGUACGUGAAAUUGUUGAAAGGGAAGGGCUUGAGAUCAGACUUGGUAUUUUGUAUGUUACUUCUUCGGGGGUGGCCUCUACAGUUUAUCGGGCCAGCAUCAGUUUGGGCGGUAGGAGAAUUGCGUUGGAAUGUGGCACGGCUUCGGUUGUGUGUUAUAGCCUUCGUCGAUACUGCCAGCCUAGACUGAGGACUGC
RNAcentral lists this ribosomal RNA (542 nucleotides) under Candida tropicalis. RNAcentral's name for it is "partial large subunit ribosomal RNA". It matches the Rfam family "Eukaryotic large subunit ribosomal RNA", at positions 50 to 598 of the family's 3401-position model. The record is from RNAcentral. Lineage: Eukaryota; Fungi; Ascomycota; Pichiomycetes; Serinales; Debaryomycetaceae.